Molecule: ribosomal RNA, 253 nt
Filed under: uncultured bacterium
Lineage: Bacteria
Description: partial 16S ribosomal RNA
Rfam family: Bacterial small subunit ribosomal RNA
Source: RNAcentral
UACAGAGGUCCCGAGCGUUGUUCGGAUUCACUGGGCGUAAAGGGUGCGUAGGUGGCGAGGUUAGUCAGGUGUGAAAUCUCGGGGCUCAACCCCGAAACUGCACUUGAUACUGCCUUGCUAGAGUACUGGAGAGGAGAUUGGAAUUUACGGUGUAGCAGUGAAAUGCGUAGAUAUCGUAAGGAAGACCAGUGGCGAAGGCGAAUCUCUGGACAGUUACUGACACUGAGGCACGAAGGCCAGGGGAGCAAACGGG